This 460-nucleotide ribosomal RNA is filed under the name uncultured bacterium. RNAcentral's name for it is "partial 16S ribosomal RNA". It matches the Rfam family "Bacterial small subunit ribosomal RNA", at positions 338 to 795 of the family's 1533-position model. The record is from RNAcentral.
CCUACGGGAGGCUGCAGUGAGGAAUAUUGGUCAAUGGACGAGAGUCUGAACCAGCCAAGUAGCGUGAAGGAUUACUGCCCUAUGGGUUGUAAACUUCUUUUAUAUGGGAAUAAAAUGUUCCACGUGUGGGAUUUUGUAUGUACCAUAUGAAUAAGGAUCGGCUAACUCCGUGCCAGCAGCCGCGGUAAUACGGAGGAUCCGAGCUUUAUCCGGAUUUAUUGGGUUUAAAGGGAGCGUAGGUGGAUUGUUAAGUCAGUUGUGAAAGUUUGCGGCUCAACCGUAAAAUUGCAGUUGAAACUGGCAGUCGUGAGUACAGUAGAGGUGGGCGGAAUUCGUGGUGUAGCGGUGAAAUGCUUAGAUAUCACGAAGAACUCCGAUUGCGAAGGCAGCUCACUGGACUGCAACUGACACUGAGGCUCGAAAGUGUGGGUAUCAAACAGGAUUAGAUACCCCAGUAGUC